This is a long non-coding RNA of Brassica napus (rape), 742 nucleotides long. RefSeq lists it as uncharacterized. The transcript has 3 exons. Lineage: Eukaryota; Viridiplantae; Streptophyta; Magnoliopsida; Brassicales; Brassicaceae. The record is from RefSeq and is a predicted model, not a curated record.
GUUUUUUUUUGUUCAUCACUCAGACCCUCAAUAAUGGGUGGAUUUCAUAACCGCUUCAAACUUCUCACCUAUAUAUAGUUCAUGUCAUACACCAGGGCCGUGCAUCUCAAAUCAACUCACAUUUUUGAAACCCGCAUAGAUUUCAUCCAGUAGUCGAAAUGUCCUCUGGUGCAUCUCAAAUCUCCGACUUGGCUGUAAAAACGGAUGAAAAGAUUGACAGAGCAUACCCGCGUGAUUUCAUGAAAGUUGGGAGAGUUGUAGUUCAUUUGAAAAGGGAGGAUGAGACUUUACUCAAUCCUGCCAUUACUUCAAGAAACUGUAUUAACCAAGACCAACCAUUCAAAGACCAUGGCAUCUGAGAGAUACUACAAAGUAGAUGUGUAGCUGUAACAGAAACAGGCGGCGACAUAACCAAAUGACAACACAAUCGUAGUUUCAGAUGAUCAAAUAGUAAACCAAAAGGAAAGACUUUUGUUUAACUCACCAACCAUGUAUAGCUUGGAGGAACGAUUUCAGCCUGCAAAAGACCAAUCAAAAAGGCAGAGAUUGUGACCAGCACGAUCCAGAUCUUUACUGUAUGCUUCGUUUGUCCUAUACAUAAAAGGAUAUGCAAAAGUGUUAAGUACAAGAUACAUGAAGAUAUGAUCAUGGGUUUUCGAGAAGUUGUUUAAGGAAUCACUUAUCAAGCCUAAUAUAUGAACUAAUAAAUCAAUGAGAAUGUUAAAGUUUUCAUUUGCUGACA